This 442-nucleotide ribosomal RNA is filed under the name uncultured bacterium. Its description in RNAcentral is "partial 16S ribosomal RNA". It matches the Rfam family "Bacterial small subunit ribosomal RNA", at positions 338 to 795 of the family's 1533-position model. The record is from RNAcentral.
CCUACGGGGUGCAGCAGUGGGGAAUAUUGGGCAAUGGGCGCAAGCCUGACCCAGCAACGCCGCGUGAAGGAAGAAGGCUUUCGGGAUGUAAACCUCUUUUGACAGGGAAGAGGAGAAGACGGUACCUGUCGAAUAAGCCACGGCUAACUACGUGCCAGCAGCCGCGGUAAUACGUAGGGCGCAAGCGUUGUCCGGAAUUACUGGGUGUAAAGGGCGUGUAGUCGGGUUGGCAAGUCAGUUGUGAAAUCCUGCGGCUUAACCGCAGAACUGCUCUUGAAACUGUGUAUCUUGAGUCCUGGAGAGGCAACCGGAAUUCCUAGUGUCGCGGUGACAUGCGUAGAUAUUAGGAGGAACACCAGUGGCGACGGCGGUUUGCUGGACAGCAACUGACGGUGAGGCGCGAAAGCGUGGGGAGCAAACAGGAUUAGAUACCCGUGUAGUC